RNAcentral lists this ribosomal RNA (477 nucleotides) under Candidatus Scalindua marina (nom. nud.). Its description in RNAcentral is "bacterial SSU rRNA". It matches the Rfam family "Bacterial small subunit ribosomal RNA", at positions 365 to 832 of the family's 1533-position model. The record is from RNAcentral. Lineage: Bacteria; Pseudomonadati; Planctomycetota; Candidatus Brocadiia; Candidatus Brocadiales; Candidatus Scalinduaceae.
UUCGCAAUGCCCGAAAGGGUGACGAAGCGACGCCGCGGGGGUGAAGAAGGCCUUCGGGUUGUAAAGCCCUGUCAGGAGUUAUGAAAUGUAGGUGCGAUAAUACCGUGCCUAUUUGACAAAGGCUCCAAAGGAAGCCACGGCCAACUCUGUGCCAGCAGCCGCGGUAAUACAGAGGUGGCAAGCGUUGUUCGGAAUUAUUGGGCGUAAAGAGCACGUAGGUGGAUUUGUAAGUCAGGUGUGAAAGCCUUCUGUUCAACGGAAGAAUUGCAUCUGAAACUACAAACCUUGAGUGUAGGAGGGGAGAAUGGAACUUCUGGUGGAGCGGUGAAAUGCGUAGAUAUCAGAAGGAACGCCGGCGGCGAAAGCGAUUCUCUGGCCUAUUACUGACACUGAGUGUGCGAAAGCUAGGGGAGCAAACGGGAUUAGAUACCCCGGUAGUCCUAGCCGUAAACGAUGGGCACUAAGUAGAGGGGUUUU